This is a long non-coding RNA of Prunus mume (Japanese apricot), 602 nucleotides long. RefSeq lists it as uncharacterized. NCBI's taxonomy places the organism in Eukaryota, Viridiplantae, Streptophyta, Magnoliopsida, Rosales, Rosaceae. The record is from RefSeq and is a predicted model, not a curated record.
UAUGAAUCCAAAAAUAUCAGAUUUUGGCAUGGCAAGAAUGUUUGGAGUUGAAGAUCAAACUCAAGGAAACACCAAAAGAAUUGUUGGCACCUAAGGUUACAUGGCUCCAGAAUAUGCUAUGGAGGGAUUGUAUUCGGUAAAAUCGGAUGUCUUUAGCUUCGGAGUACUUUUGCUUGAGAUCAUGACGGGGAGAAGGAAACUUUUUAGGCUUUCAUCCAACAAAUCAUGCACCUACUCUUAUAGGCUAUGCUUGGCAGUUAUGGAACGAAACGAAAGGGUUGGAGUUGAUGGAUCCGUUGUUGAAGGACUCAUGCAGUCCAAAUGAAUUUUUGAGAUACAUUCAUAUUGGAUUAUUGUGUGUUCAAGAAGAUGCAAACAAGAGGCCAACUAUGUCAUCGGUUGUUCUAAUGUGUUAAAAAGUGAAACCAGUAGUCUAUCCAGACCUGAGAAACCAGCCUUCUUUACAGGAAGAUCUACUGAUCACCAUGAUCAAGAAAACGCUCAUAAUUGCUCAGCCAAUGGUUUGACGAUUUCUAAUGACUUGCCCCGUUGAGGAAGAUGACAAUUAAGUAAAGAUCAUUGUAUUCCAUUAAUUAAAGGCU